Long non-coding RNA from Alexandromys fortis (reed vole), 14325 nucleotides. RefSeq lists it as uncharacterized. The record is from RefSeq and is a predicted model, not a curated record. The transcript is spliced from 5 exons. Lineage: Eukaryota; Metazoa; Chordata; Mammalia; Rodentia; Cricetidae.
UCGUUAUCUUAAUUAAGAUCCAGAGAAAAUGUUGUCUGUAAAUGGAGCCAGAAGAAGAGGGCAUAAUUUUGUACAGUUUUGCUUUUGGAGAAUUUAAUUACACUUGAAACCUGUCUUUGAGCUUCCAGAUUGUGUGAGCAGUUUGGCAACAGAAGUUUUAGAGAGGAAUGGUAGUUUAAUGUUAAGUGUUCUGGCAUGUUCUAAUACUACUUGUGGCUUUUUGGCAAUACCUUGUGUCGGCUCUCUUUGUACUCUGUCUUUGUGGAAUAAUAGCUUCUAAUUUUGAAAGCAAAGCAUAAAAUAGAGGGCUGUAUUGUUCAGCAGACAUUCAUUAGUGAGGAAGACAUGUUUAGUGUGCAAAAACAGGGAUAUAAUGAAAAGGUAAAUAGAUGAGAAAUGUAUGCCUUUUAAGGUUUGGGGAGUGCCUUGAUGGUCUGAAACAAUUCCCUGUUCUUAUCAUCAAGUGCAUAGCUACAGUGUUUAUGGAAUAGCUCGUCAUUUAUAGAAAUAGAGGGAAACUUUACUCCUUCCAAAAUACUAUAUAAUAUAUUUAAACUAGUAAGCAAAUGAUGAUACAGUAUUAGUUUAGAACCCAAUUUAUAACCCGGGUUCUAAAUUUAUAAUCGUUAAAAUAGUACCAUCCCCUUUAACUAUGAAUCUCUCAGUGUGCAAACAAUGACAGGGGGAUGCUGGUGGCCACUUGCCCUUGGAUGACCCUGCACCUCAUACCCUUUAACAUAAGUGCUACAUUAAAAUUUCCCUCCUCUUUGUAGCUCGACAUUUCCUGGAAGCUGGCUGUCAAUCAGCAUUUGUGUAAGAUGGGUCCGUGCUUUCCUUCAAUAUUAAACCUCAGAGUCGAAAGAGGAAAUGAAAGUGGAGGGGAUCGUGGGCAUAUGAUGGGAAAGGCCAGGUGUAGAGUCAUGGCUCAUUCUUGACUUCAAGGAUAAUUAGCUGGUUAGAAUUACACGGAGAACUAAAAUCAAAGGAAGACUUACUUAAAUUUGUUUGCUGAAACUGAAACAAGAGCGUUAAUUUUGAGAUAAUUGCUUUAUUUAUCCCCCAGACCCCUCACCAGAAUGUUUUCUCUGGCAGCUACAGUCCCUAUUUUUUAUGCUGUUGUGCAUGUUAUUUUUAAAUUAGAUAUAUUGUGUUAAAAGGUGGAAUAUUAAUGCAAAUAAAUUAUCCAUUUUAAUUAAUAAUACAAUUAUGAAUGUUUGUAUGUUCUAGAAAUCUUAGGAAAAACUGAAAUGUUCUUUAGUUCAUGAGCUGGAAAUGAAUGAGAUCGUGUAAUCCUUUGUGAAUUGAAUGGGUUGUUUAAAAUAGAUUAUGAGCACAGUGCCAUAGUUGGAACAACAUUUUAAUUCUGAAAUAGCACCACCUGCUUUGAGUGGAGGCAUGUCUGUCUUCAUAUAUUUCUCUUCAGUUUCUGCAUUGCAUUAGCUUCUGUUUUUAACAUCAUUUUGGUAGAGAAUAGCUUUUUUUUUUUUUAACAGAACAGCAGCUGACACUUCCCCAUGAACGUAAAACCUAGGGGUGAUUUUUUCCUUGUUCUGUAAUGACUAGUUUGCUUUCACAGCUCUCCUCUGAAGUGCAAUACUGAUGACUUAUUUCUGUAUAAAUUGCCUGUGUUUUCAUAGUCUAGUAUACCUCAGCAACAAUUUAGCUUGCAAAUCAACUUAGACGCUUCAAAAUUGAAACCCAGUAUAUUGUAACAUAGUUUGAGUGUCUUUAUUAGUGAGGAUGCAUCUAACAUUUGUUCAGGAAGGGGGAAUAUAAUUUCCUCCCGUAGCUGUCAUUUGUGUAAUCCAUUUCUCCUGCCUUUUCUCAGGCUAAUGAUAUUCCACACCUUGAUACAGCUCUUAUUUGCUUAUUUACCAUAAUAUGGAGUGAUACCUUGGAGAAAAUUGGAUUAGACGUUCAUAUCUAAUAUCCCUAAAGUAUUGCUAGUGUUCUGUGUUCUCUUACACAGACUCCUUUGUACUUCCUGGUCAGGUUAUAAGUACAAUGUUUUAUAAUAUAUUUGGAUGUUUCAGAUAAGUUCAUUUCCAAAAUAUAGGGUUAUUUUACAUAUUGACUAAAAUUUGUUCUUGAACACACCAAUGCUUAUCUGAAUGCUUUGGGUGUGCCUGGAUGUGAAGCUCCCAGAUAGCACCAAGGAGGCUUCAGCAAAGAAUGCAUAUUAGUAAUUGGUGCUAAGUGUGGAUAGUGGGGGAAUGCCACCUGAGAUCUUUGAUUAUUCAAAUUCUAUUAGUGCACUAAGAGGAAUUUGGUAAAUUUAGAAAUUGUUGAUUUGUGGAAUGUCUGAAUAAUUUAUCAUUUAUCUUGGAAUUGCAUUAAAUAAUUUAUUUGAAUUAUAGCAUUGGAAAGUAAAAUCAAGACAAGGUUGUAAUGUUUAAUAGAAAUCAAAAUUGCUAUUAAAAGGAAAUAAUAGAGCUAAAACAAAUCACAUUUUGAAGUUAUUUUUUUGAACUGAUUUUUUUUAAAGAAUAAAUUUAGCAUUAUCUUCAGCCUUUGGCAUCAAGCUCUUAAUUACAGAAAGUAUACAAGUAUGCAAAACUUGUUAUUGUUAUUAAAAAUAGGGUUCUGGAAUAUGUGAGAAGAAAGGCUUUGAGAAAGAAUUUGCAGACUAUUUGUGCUAUCUAAAGAAUAGAGCAAGGAACUGGACUAAGUUGGUGGCUGAACUCCCCACCCCAAUAAGAUAAUUUUACUGAAGGCAGUCUCAUUAGUCUAGCCUUUGCUAGAACAAAUGCUUCUCUAUGAAUUAUUAGGCAUUUGUGUAGUCUUGGCUAUAAUAGGAAAUACUAUUUUAUCAUUUGUAAGUAAAUGUUUGUAAAUAGACUUGUGUUCCCUGUACUGAUUGGAACCUCCAGAAACUCAGGGCUAGUGUUACAGCAAGCUAGAAGCACAGCACAAAUGUAAAGAAAAUGUUAGGCAGGCACAAAUAGGAUUCAUCAUUAUUUACCUUUAAGCUUAGGGGUCUGUUCUGUUCUUAAACCAUGAUAGAGUUGUUGAUUUAAACGUAAGAGGAUUGAGGUUUAGUUCUUUUCUCCUAGGCAUAACUAUUGGAAUGUAUAUAUGUGUGUGUGUGUGUGUGUAUAUAUAUAUAUAUAUAUAUAUAUAUAUAUAUAUAUAUAUUAGAUAUAUUUGAGCAUUCAGGCUUAUCAAGUUUCAUAUCUGUUGUGGGCUAGAUUUACUAUUAUAAUUCAAGUUUCAUUAAAGGUAUUCAAAUGCAUCAGAUCUCUUCAUCUUGUAUGAAAUAUUUGUACUGGAGCACACUCUUGAAAAUAUCAAGAACCAUCCUUUUUGGAGUAAUGGGUUAUGGCUGAUUAAUUGAGAAGGUUGUACUAAAUGUUCUCUAGUGGAAAUAUCUAAAGAAUGUGCUUUUUAAGAAAUGCAUCAUCCACAAUAAAAUCACUUCAGGUAUCAGUAAUUAAACUGUGAUUCAUGAAGAAAGGGAGUGGUGAGAGGAAGCUAACUGUGCCGUUUUCUCUUUAAGAUCCGCAGUUCAUAUUGGACUUCUGGCCGCCGUGGAAGGAGGUGAUCCAGAAGACGGGAAGGCAAUACUAUCUAUCAUCAAGAACACAUUCCUCUGCAAUUCUGAACCUUUAGCCUACAUGAGAACUCUAUCCAAUAGAUCACAGUUUCUUUAAUUUUGAGCGAUGGGAACCAUCCUGUUUUUCUCUGCUAACUUUCUGAGCCUGCUUCUUCCAGGGCCACAGGCUGUGUUUAGAGAGCUGAGAAAUAGCUUUUCGGCCUACUCAGCACCCUUAAAAUAGCUUCUUUCUGCGAAUUAGAUCUGUGAUGGCGUUCUGCACGGCUCUAGCGGAUGACAUUUCAGUUUGGGAUUGACAUGCACUCAGCCUGUUGUCCAACUGUCCUCAUUUACCUCCUGUUCCUUUGUUGCAUUUACCUAGGGGUGUAUUCUCCAUGGUGGUUGACCGCCAGCCGCCCCAGCCCAGAGACCCCAGCAAGAGGCUGGCUCUUGAUAGCAGGCCAUGUUUUCUUUGCCUGGUUCCAGCCCGAGCUCUGUUGGCUUCCAGAAACCCUGGCCAGGCUUUUCCUUCCCACCACACUAGGUUGGCUACUAUGUGCUCUGCAGCUGUUGCAGGGGCUCACACAGAAUAGAAGGCUCUGCUACAUUCUGGGAUGCAUCUCUGAUAAUUUACUCAUGUGCAUUUUUGUCUUCAAACCUACUGCUGGCAUUGAAAUCUAAGAUUCCUGAAAAACAGCAUUGGGCUCCAACUCUGUCUUCAGGAGAAGCUCUGUCCUCUGGCCCUGUGGUUGCCAUGUUGACCACGGAGGUUCAGUUAUGAAUUGGUCCUUUCCGAAGAGCAGUUACUUUAUCUGGGAAUGUUGACACAGACCUCAGUCGUUUAAUAGCAUUUCUAGCUGUUUGUUUUUCUUGUUUAAAAAGGCAACCUUUUCCCUGUCAUCACAAAUUUCUAGCCCCUGACCUAUAUAUAUCUAGUAAGGGACAUUAAUGAAACAGUAAAGGGCUUUAUGCUGUCUAAUUAUAUAAUUAGGAAAAUGGUAAGAAAUGUGGUGGCUCACACUGAUUUCUUCCAUUAAAGGUACUAGAGCACAUUUACAAUCGCAAACCUUCAGAAAAGACUCCGGGUAAUCUGGAAGUAAAGUGAUGUUUGGGGGGAUCCCCGGAGUAGCGGGAGGAAUAUUAGUUUCACAUUCCUUUCCCCAUGUCUUCUUGCAGGGUGUCGGCAGCUGGGGAACCAUUGCAAUGUAGUCAGACAGUGCUGAUAGCAGAGCACUUAUUUGGAAAGCAGUUUACAUUGGCACAGCUUGUCAGUAUUGUGACCAUGACCAACUUCGCACCUGGAACGGAAGCCCAAGGAAAAUUUAUCUCCAGUCUCUGGAGUUUGAUGAGGCUCAAGGAGAGACAUCUCAACAUCGUGGGGUUCCAGCUGCCUGUGCUCUCCCAGUUCUUACGGCCAGAUUUGAAUUGUCAGGAAUCUAACAGCACAUUAAAACUUCAAGACAAAGCAGUGGACUCUAGCAGUGUUACCACCCUGAAGACAGGAGUGUGGAAGAGAAUCAUGAAAAUGAAGAUUUGGGCAAACAGCUCAUCCUUGCAGUUGUCUUAAAGAGUGAUUAAUUUCCCUUUCAGUGCCUUCUACCCAAGCCGAAGUGCUUCUGCAGAGACGAAUUCUGUGAAGCCUGUUUAGGGGAUCAUCCCCGCUAGACAGACAGCUGCGAGGGGGCACCGCUUCCCAGCAUGGAUUUCAGAUUAUAACCAAUCAAAGGCCGAAGCUAAGGAACACCUGUCAGCGGCGUUUGUGCAAGGAGACCAGCUCUUUAAUCAAAUUUCAUUGUACUUCAGAAAAAGGUUUAUUUUAAAUGUGGCGUCUGCUUUUAUGAUUCAUCCCUCUUAGCUGAGACAUCAAUUUGGGGCUUAUUUAUGAUGUUGUUUUAGGGUAAAACGAGAAACUGCAAGAAAAUAUUUCAAGAAAGUGGCCUUUCCCAGACAUUUAAUUAGCAACUUUCUCAGAUGGGAAAAUACAAAAUUGAAAACGUGAGUUUUAAAUUUUUGUGUGUGAAUAUAAUUAGCGUUAGGGAUUCUUUUGAGGACACCUCAGAAUGUUGAUGCUUGUCAUGAAGUCUGGAGAACUUGCCUUGUGGAAAUCCGUUCCGCUUAUCUGUGAGCAGUGCAAACUAUCAUUGAUACUGAUGGGUUCAGAGAGGCCAUGCCUGCUUUCAACUUGGCCCUAAUUGGAGGCCCCACUAAGUCCAUAAUACCAGGUACUUUCUCACAGCUGCAGACCAUGGAGUGUAACUAUCAGAGGACAAACUUCACUCUGCAAACUGUAACUUAAUGGUAUAACUGUGUGCAGCCCCGAAUAUCAGUUAAUUUUCAAAACAUUUUAUUCUACAGCAAUUAGCUCAGGUCCUGGAGGGCAAAAUGACAAGAGGUUACUCGUUCACUAUGUAUUUAAUUAAUUGAAAAAUGCUCCAAUUGCCUUUACAGUUGUUAUUAGAGAGCAGAAUCAGUGUUGCCAGCGCUCAACCAUAAUUGGAACCCCAGGGAAUUAAAUAUUUAGCAUUAGUAAUGUAACAGCACUUAGGACACAAAUUUCUAUUUUCGUAAUGAAAGCUAUACACUGUGAGUGCAGGCGGCUGAAAGGACAGCUGUGACAAGCGAAACGGCCUGGGACAUUUCAAUAAGACACCUCAUUGGACAGCGAGUCUUACCACAUUAUGCGUUUGUAAGAGACCUGCAAGUUUAAUUCCCACGAGGAACUCAUAGCCCAAGUCUUUAGCGUCCUAAUUGCAUGCAGGAUGAGUGCUUGGGCAAAUGUCUUGCCAUAAGUGCCUGAAAUUUGUCCUGCUUUCUAAAUAAUCGCAUAUAAGUUCGUGCCUUUGUCAAUUUAAAAAUACUGAGACUGUCAGGGAAUAAGGAUCUUAUUUGUUUUCCAUUUAAUUAUAUUUUAAGCACACAUGCUUUCUGUGCUACAAUGAGAAAAGUUGGCUAUUGGGCUCUAAUGAGCUGCAGUGUAGACGCUGGAGACCCUGAGGGAUUCGCUCCGUAAAUUAGCUGGAUAAAAAGUACUUGGUUAGGAUAUAGUUGAUGGCUGAGCUGUUCGCAGAACCAGUUACAGUACUGUCUCUCGCUCCUGUUUCAUUCUAAACAGGCUCUGUAGAGACUUUAACAGCUGCCUGUUAAAGCUGCUCAACUUGUCAAAAUGUAUUAUAUUACUCCACUAAUAAAUAGUAUUAAAGGGCAUUUGACUUCGCCUCUCAUUUUCAGAGGGGAUCAGGUUGGUACACCUGGCUUAGGCUGGCCUUAUUUUAAUUUGUUUAUGUCAGCUAAGUGAUACUGAAGGGCCGUGUUUUAAAUUUGCAAACAUUGCCUUCCCAGGGAGGGAUACGCAGUGGAAACAAGGGAUUGAGACACUUAUUGUAGAAUGUUUCUCAUUGGAAAACGUCAGAUUUUGACAUUCUUAGGCCACAUUUAAAGAACUUGAGAGCCCAUGGCUAAGCUGACAGUCUCAGAAAGUUUGGUUCCUUUGCGUUUUUCAUUUCUAAUAAUAAAUAAAUAAAAUAAAAGUCACAAGAUAAAUAAUGUCACAACUUCCUUUUGAUUUUCCAUUGUUCCUAUGUCUAUUUUGGAUUAUUCUAAGUAAUCAUGAUUUUUGUAUCCAUUUUUAAACAAUUUUUCAAAACAAUGCAUGUUUACUUAAAAAAAUACUUCAUUUGAUAAAGUCUUCCUUAGACCUUCCCUCAACCCUGUCUCCCUGCCUGGUGGUCUCUUUUGAUAAGUUUUUUUGUUUUUGUUUUGCUUUUUGCAUGCAUAUGUGGUGUGUGUGUGUAUGUGUGUGUGUAGGCCAGAGAUUGACAGCUGACAUCAGAUGUCGUCUCACCUCACUUCCCACCGUAUUUGUUGAGGCAGAUCUCUGACCAACCUGAAGCUCAACGAUCAGCUAGUCCACCUAGCCAGCAUGCUCUGAGCAUAUUAUACAAAUGCACAUGUUGGUCUGUGUUUACAGAUCGUAUUAGUGCCCUAGAUCAUGCAUGAUGUUUUAAAAUUUUGUUACAUUUAUUUGGGGGUGGCGAUUACGUGCCAAAGUGUGUGUGCGCAUGCGUGUGCGUGUGUUUUGCUCAAAGGACAAUUUGCAGGAGUUUUCUCUUCCAACUAUGGAGCUCACAGUGAUCAAACUCAGGUAGUCAGGCUUGGCAAGAAACCUCUUUACCCACUGAACCAUCUUAAUAGCCUUAUGUGAGUGCUUUUAACAAUUAAUCCUUAUUGUUCUCUUGACAGAAGCUUCUGUCCCACCAGGUGCCACAGCCGUUUAGCCCCAAAGAAAUACACAGAAAUCUACAUUAAUUAUAAACUGCUUGGCCUAGUAUCUCAGGCUUCUUAUUAAUUCUUAUAACUUACAUUAACCUGUAAUUCUUGUCUGUGUUAGCCACAUGGUUUGCUGCCUUUUUUGGCGAGGCCGUCACAUCUUGUUGCUUCUGUGUCUGGGUGACGACUGCAGACUGAAACUUCUCUCUUCCCAGAAUUCUUGUUGCCCCAUCUCUACUUCCUGCCUGGUCAUCCCACCUCUACCUCCUACCUGGCUACUGGCCAAUCAGUGUUUAUUUAAAAUACAAGUGACAGGAUACAGACCAUUGUCCACAGCAUUGAGCAGGCACAAAAGUGCACUUAUCUGUUGGUUGUCAAUACCAUUCAAAGUAAUUCAGUUUUGCCGUAGCAAAUGAUGCUAUGCUGAACAUCUGCCUAAGCAUGUGAGUGAACAUGGAUGGGCACAGAACAUGUGAUCCAUCGUGGAUUGCGCCAAUACUCUGUGCCAGGCAUCAUUAAAAAUGCCUUUAGUAACUCAUUCCAUCUUUAUCCUAAGUAAAAGUCAGUGUAUAGCCAGGUGGUGGUGGCACACACCUCUAAUCCCAGUACUCAGGAGGAGGCAAAGGUAGGCAUAUCUCUGUGAGUUCGAGACUAGCCUGGUCUUCAGAGCUAGUUCUAGGACAUCCAGGGCCACACAAAGAAACCCUGUCUAGAAAAAAAAAAACAAACAAAACAAAAAAAAGAGUUAAGGUGUAUUAUUAGCCCUAUUUUACGUAGUGAUACUGAGGCUCAAUAGGGUUAAACUCCUCAAGGCCACCAGAGUAUGCUGUUAGCCAGUCUCUUUUGUCUGUUCAUGUCCUGGUCUCAUUUUAUUAUAGUUUCAUGGCCCUGUCAGGCUCCACAAAGACUUGACGGAUCAUGGCUGCCUCCUGUUUUUCAGAGCUGGAGCUUGAACUUCCCGUGCAGGAAAAUGCUCUACCGCUGAGCUCUAGCUCCCACUGCUUUUGCUUUCUCUUGAGACAGGAUCUCACACAGUCAUUCAGGCUUGGCAACUGGAGCCCCCGCCCCUGCCUCAGCCGCGCCAUAGCUGGGUUUACAGGCUGAGACUUGGAUGUCUCUAAUACAGAUAAUCACGUCUUCCUUCAAAAGAUUUCAGUCUGUCGCCUUUAUUUUCAUUUUAUGUUAACAUUACCAAGAUUUGCUUUGUGGACUGAGAUAUAAGGAAACCUUGUAACCCUAGGGGUACAAACACAUUUUCCUGUAUAGUUUUGCACACUAUUAAUUUCUUUUGGGUUUUUAUCGUAUUGAUGUUCAGUAUAUUUGGAAUGGAUGAAAACCAAGUCUUUGAUUUGCAGUGACCUCUGCAGCCUCCUCUUGUGAACUGUUUUUCCUUUCUCCUUCAUAGCUUGAAAUACACCUUUAUCAAAUGUUAUAGCUCCAUUUGUAUUCUGUCUUGAUAGCCAGUUCUUCUGGAAUAUUCCAUUUGUAGACUGCCUGGCCUUGUAGCAGUCCAUUUUCUGUUACAAGUGUCUAGUCUCAUUAAAAUGAUGUCUGUUGUGUGCAUCUAACUUUAUAAAAGUAGUGUGCACUCUUUCAGGCAUGGUGAAGGAAUCCCAAGCUAGACAGGAGGUUGGUGAGUUCAGGUCACCCUGAGCUACAUAAUAAAACAACCCUUGAGGAUGGUUACCGACCAAUGGCAAGGGCCACUGAGGUCACAUCUGCCCAGGGUGCUUACUCCGGAUUACCCAGGAGAUCCUAGAGUAAUCGCGAGGACUGGUAAAUGUGGAAAAGGGAGGUGAGGGAGGCCGCUUGAGAGUUGCAGAAUGAGAAACUCAGCAGAGCCCUCUGGCUUUGCACCUUGAAGAAUGGGGCCUCAAGCCAAGGACUGCAGGCAGCCACUACCACUGAAGAAGACAAGACUUUACCCUCCGUACUCUCCUGAAGAAAGUAAAACUUGGCCAGUGCCUUUGAUUCUGAAAGACAGGGUCUGAAGUGUGGUGAUUUGUUACCACAGCACAGUAGGCGGGCGGUUCACACUGAUGAGAUGGUGAUUGCCACACCCUGAGUGAGACCCAGCUCCAAAAACCAAAGCUUAAAAAGUUGAUAUGAAAGUGAAACCCAGACUCUUAGUUCUUGACUCUCCUCCCUCUGAAUGCUCCAGGCCAACUCCCACCAGACGGGCUAAUCACCUGGGUGUCUGAGUCCAUACACAGGUGUGGGGUUUGCUGUUAUUCAGGGAAAUCCACUUUUCUAUUUCAAAAGAAACUUUAAUUUCUAACCCUUUUUGGGGAUGGCCUUUAGAAUCUGCAAACAGUGUUUUAAAGUUGCCCGAGGCUUUGCUUGAGGGAUGUAAAUAGCGUGUUGAUUCCACGAAGUAGUAUCCUAGUCCUGACUCGGUAGGCCACCUCCCCAUCCUUGAGUCAAUGAAUCAAUGCAAAUUUCAGUUUUAGAGAAAAAAGGAUAAAUACUAUUCUGUUUUGUAAAUUCUUUUAAAAGUUUUUUAAAUCCACUUAAGAUUUUCAACUUCUCCUUAUAAAGUUCUACAUAGAACUUUCAUUUAGAAAUGUCCUUGAUACCUGUGCUUGUGUCUACAUUCUUUUUUAUUUAUUUUAUAUGUAUGAGUGUUUUGCCUGCAGGCAUGUCUGUGCACCAUGUGUGUGCAGUACCCGUGGAGGCCAGAAGAGGGCGGUGGAUCCUCUGGAAGCUUGGGUAGGAAAGUUGACUGUGUGAGGCACCGACCACAGCUGCUUCCUCCUGCAUGUUUACAGCCUGAGACUGUCCCCCCCCUACAGUAGCGACCUCCUACUGAGAAGCGCUGAUCCCUCCUCUUUUUACUAUACAUCAUAAACUCACUGGGUCUCUAGGCUGAAUGGUAGGUGUCUCAGAGCCAGCACAGCCCACACCAUCCCCGAUUUCCUGUACGUUUGUCUUUCUGUAUGUUUGUCUGUCCUUUGUCACCCAAUCGAACUUCCUGGACCAUGCUGUGCAGGAUGCAGUAAGAACCAACACCCAAAAGUUGUCGUCUGACUUCCGCACACCUGAUGCGGCCUAAGCAUGCCUGCGCUCACCCGUGUCACAUACACAAUACUCAAAGUUUAAGUAGAACGUGUGUUGUGUUGCUUAGGAAAACUACUGUGGAUCUGCUUAAGUCAAGCCCUGGUACUGAACUUCUCUCUCAGGAGUACAGGCUUUCUUUCACCGCGUUGUUUUGGCAGAGGCUCCCAUGACUGCUGCACCUCGGCUCUCUCUGUCCCCUUUGGUUGCGGGGAGGAAAGCUGUGCCCGUGGCACUCCUGGCUGGAAACUGCCUGCUGAUUUCCUUUCCUUCCUGUUUCAGAAGAGUGGAGUUAGUUCUCCCUGUGCCCUAGGCCCCCGGCAAUGAGCUGUCCACAUUGCAUUUCUCCUUCUGGGCCUCCCACCGGGUGCAAACCUAGACAUUCACUCUCAGGGUUGAGCGCCCAGUCUUUACAGCGCGUGCCUCCCUGACUUCUGUGUUUCAGGCACUUUGUCUGGCGCACUGCAGACUCCAUCCUGCUAGCAGUCACUGUCCAGAUGGCUUCUCAGUGAUCUGGGUCUUUCUCAUUUGUCACCUCCAUGUUUAUCUUCACUCCAUCAAAAAGGAAAACCCUCGUCUUCUGAACAGCAACUGCUAUACCUGCUUGGGCUCUAGUAUACUCUGGUGUUUCAAUUGCUUUAAAAAUAAAUGCAUUAUUACUGGUGUGUGUGUGUGUGUGUGUGUGUGUGUGUGUGUGUGAAUUCAGGUGCAUUUUCUGUUGUUAUUAUGCAUGUGUGAAUGCAGGUGCAUUUCCUAGGGUUGUUAUUAUGCAUGUGUGAAUGCAGGUGCUUUUCCUAGGGUUGUUACUAUGAAUGCAGGUGCAUUUCCUAGGGUUGUUAUUAUGCAUGUGUGAAUGCAGGUUCUUUUCCUAGAGUUGUUACUAUGAAUGCAGGUGCAUUUCCUAGGGUUGUUAUUAUGCAUGUGUGAAUGCAGGUGCUUUUCCUAGUGUGGUUUUUAUGUGUGUAAAUGCAGGGGCUUGCAUUUCCUGGUAUGUGUGGAAGUCAGAGGACAGUUUCCAGGAGUCAGUUCUUGCCUUCUAUUGUGGAUUUCAGGGAAGAAACUCAGGCCUUAGGCAAGCGCUUCUACCUGCAGAGCCAUUUUGUUGGCCCUUCUUUUUUCUCCAUUUUUAUUUUUAUCAAAGAAAAUAUGAUGAAUUAGUUGACAAUAAGUACCACUGGGAGGUUUGUAAAGAAAAUGUGUCUGCCUCAGCCCCUCUUCAUCUUCUCCUUAGAAGCAACUCUUUACAAAUUCCCUUUAGUAGCAUAUUCCUCUUACAGAUUGUACCCAAUAAACACACGGCUCUUUAAGGAGAUUGUCCAAUAUGGAGAGAAAGGCCCAAACACGCAGGAAAUGGGAUUUGUAGAACACAGACUGCAAAACCUCAGUAACCUCCAAGAAAUAAGAGGAUACUGCAUCUACAACACAAGGACAGACUGUCAUGGAGCAGGAACAGGCUAGAUGGUGCCUUGGGGGAAAUAGAGCACAAGGAAGUGACAAAAUAUGGAAACAAGGACAUUCAUUAUUAGCUCUGAUUUUCCCAAAGCAUGGUCAUGGAUGUAUUGAAACAUUCCCCAACAGUACAUUUUAUUUGCGCAAUAAUAAUUGCAAUACCAAAUCCUUAUUUAACCACAAAUUAUCCUGGGCCAGGUGUGGUGCCAUGAGCCUGGAAAGUCAGCCCCAGAAAGGCUGAAGCAGGAAGAUCACAAACUGGAGGCCAUCCUGGGCUACCAACUGAGACUCUCUCACAAGCAACAACCCUGGAGUGCAUUGGGCCUGUCCUGUCAGCCCGUGUUCAUUAGGCACCCACUUCUGGGACCUCUCGUUUAAUGUCCUCUUUUGGGAUAGUUGUCAAGACAUAGCAGGACUUGGGAGUGUUACUGCUACGUGCAGGCAGAUGCCCCGUGUCCCCUACCAUUAGCCCUGGUCCCCCUUCUACCCCAUACCUGACUCUUUAUCCUGGGUCUUCAUUUUCAUUGAGCUCAGCUUUUAUCAUUCCAUUUGUAGGAUUCAGGCUAAGCUGCUUUCUAGAGGCAGCCCAUUAGUUCUCCAUCUGCUUUUUGCCUAAUGAAAUGAUUUCCUUUAAAAUCAUUUGGAGGAGGGGCUAGAUAAGAUGGCUCAACAGUUAGGAGCACUGGCUACUCUUCUAGAGGAUCCAGGUUCAAUUCCCAGCACCCAUGUAGUGGUUGUUACUCCAAUUCAGGGAAUCCACUGCCCUCUUCUGGCCUCCAUGGGUACUGCAUGCUCAUGGUGCACAAACUUACAUGUAGGCCAACACCCAGGCACAUAAAAUAAAUCUUGAAAAUACUUUUGAUGUCUUUUAUCUAGUAGCAUCCUCAUUGCCGCUUUUUUAUUUUUUUAUGUAAUAACUUUACAGUGGUUAGAAAAGAGGAUUAAAUAUAUGUGGUGCCCAGUUACUUCUGUUUCUGGUCCCUGCACCUCCCAUGAUUUAAUGUCUGAUAUGUUGAAGCCUCUGCUCUUGCUCACAGAACGGUCCUGGAAUAUACUUGAUUAUUUCAUCACCCAUCUUUUAAACUAGAUGUCCCUAGUAUACCACACCUACUUAUCCCUACACAGGUAAUAUGUUUAUUCAAGUCCCCCAAAACAGUUUUUACAAAAUUUGUUUUGAAAAUUUUAAACUUUUGGAAACCCCAGGAGUGAGUGAACUCUUAUCUGUUCUUCCUGACUCAGGAGCCGAGCAUGCUUUGUUGAGCUUUCACUCAGUCUCAGGGGCCCUGCGACCUUCUGCCCCUCCAUCAGUCGAUGGGGAAACUGAACAGGGAUGCAGUUGUCUAGCAAUCGUGUUCCGAUCUCAGUGGCGACCACGGCAAGUUGUUUCCGUGAAGGCCAGUCAGAGCCCAUCCCUCCGAUUGCUGUUCUGUGGGCCAGUCUUGUGUUGUGUUCCCCUGACUCUGCUGUCUAUGAUGGGUCCAGGCCUGUUGUAGAUUCUCCUGCCAGUCUAUGUCCUUUCGAUCAACACAUUUAAUGCGAGUUCUUCUCUGUCCGCCUCCGCGGAGGGCGCGAGAUGUUUUUUAGCUUCAACUAUUUGCUUAGGUGAUGCCUCCACUCUUCUCCACCUCAUAAAAAAGAAAGGGGUUCUCUGUAAAGGACAUGAGCCUGGGGCAUGGCUUUGCAGGUAAAAGCACUCACUGGAGAAGUGUGAGAGCAGGAGCCAGUCUUCCUAAUCCGUGUGAAGAGCUGAUGCAGCGCCGUGCACGGGAAAUCCCAGCACUCCUCCGGGAAGACAGGGGGCAGAGGUCAGAGGUCAUCUGGAAGCUUGAGGCCAGUCACCCCGAAUACUGAGAGCAGCAGGCACAAGAGUCCUGGCAGCAACAGGGUGGAAGGUGAGAACCAACUCCUGAAAGUUGUCCUCUGGCCUUAACAGUGUACACAAUCACACACCUACAAUAAAUUCAAUCAAUUGCUCAGUGAAAGUUUUUGAAGAAAAUAAAAUCUAUAGAUGUUAAUACAUGUUA